RNAcentral lists this ribosomal RNA (332 nucleotides) under uncultured bacterium. Its description in RNAcentral is "bacterial SSU rRNA". It matches the Rfam family "Bacterial small subunit ribosomal RNA", at positions 568 to 898 of the family's 1533-position model. The record is from RNAcentral.
UGCGUAGGUGGUCCGUUAAGUUCGUUGUGAAAGCCCUGGGCUCAACCCAGGAACUGCUUCGAAUACUGGCGGACUUGAGGCCGGUAUGGGUCACUGGAACUGACGGUGGAGCGGUGAAAUGCGUAGAUAUCGCCAGGAACGCCAAUGGUGAAGACAGGUGACUGGGCCGGAUCUGACACUGAGGCACGAAAGCGUGGGGAGCGAACGGGAUUAGAUACCCCGGUAGUCCACGCCCUAAACGAUGCAGACUAGACUGCAGCGGGUUACACCCCGUUGCGGUCGGAGCGAAAUUGUUAAGUCUGCCACCUGGGAAGUACGGUCGCAAGGCUAAA